CAGUCGCCGCGGGAAUACGGAGGGUGCAAGCGUUAAUCGGAAUUACUGGGCGUAAAGCGCACGCAGGCGGUCUGUCAAGUCGGAUGUGAAAUCCCUGAGCUUAACUUAGGAAUUGCAUUCGAUACUGGGAAGCUAGAGUAUGGGAGAGGAUGGUAGAAUUCCAGGUGUAGCGGUGAAAUGCGUAGAGAUCUGGAGGAAUACCGAUGGCGAAGGCAGCCAUCUGGCCUAAUACUGACGCUGAGGUACGAAAGCAUGGGGAGCAAACAGGAUUAGAUACCCUGUAGUCCCUGUCUCUUAUACA
RNAcentral lists this ribosomal RNA (301 nucleotides) under uncultured bacterium. RNAcentral describes it as "partial 16S ribosomal RNA". It matches the Rfam family "Bacterial small subunit ribosomal RNA", at positions 509 to 808 of the family's 1533-position model. The record is from RNAcentral.